Molecule: ribosomal RNA, 941 nt
Rfam family: Bacterial small subunit ribosomal RNA
UUACGUGCCAGCAGCCGCGGUAAUACGUAGGGUGCGAGCGUUAUCCGGAAUUAUUGGGCGUAAAGAGCUCGUAGGCGGUUUGUCGCGUCUGUCGUGAAAGUCCGGGGCUUAACCCCGGAUCUGCGGUGGGUACGGGCAGACUAGAGUGCAGUAGGGGAGACUGGAAUUCCUGGUGUAGCGGUGGAAUGCGCAGAUAUCAGGAGGAACACCGAUGGCGAAGGCAGGUCUCUGGGCUGUAACUGACGCUGAGGAGCGAAAGCAUGGGGAGCGAACAGGAUUAGAUACCCUGGUAGUCCAUGCCGUAAACGUUGGGCACUAGGUGUGGGGACCAUUCCACGGUUUCCGCGCCGCAGCUAACGCAUUAAGUGCCCCGCCUGGGGAGUACGGCCGCAAGGCUAAAACUCAAAGGAAUUGACGGGGGCCCGCACAAGCGGCGGAGCAUGCGGAUUAAUUCGAUGCAACGCGAAGAACCUUACCAAGGCUUGACAUGUUCUCGAUCGCCGUAGAGAUACGGUUUCCCCUUUGGGGCGGGUUCACAGGUGGUGCAUGGUUGUCGUCAGCUCGUGUCGUGAGAUGUUGGGUUAAGUCCCGCAACGAGCGCAACCCUCGUUCCAUGUUGCCAGCACGUAGUGGUGGGGACUCAUGGGAGACUGCCGGGGUCAACUCGGAGGAAGGUGAGGACGACGUCAAAUCAUCAUGCCCCUUAUGUCUUGGGCUUCACGCAUGCUACAAUGGCCGGUACAAUGGGUUGCGAUACUGUGAGGUGGAGCUAAUCCCAAAAAGCCGGUCUCAGUUCGGAUUGGGGUCUGCAACUCGACCCCAUGAAGUCGGAGUCGCUAGUAAUCGCAGAUCAGCAACGCUGCGGUGAAUACGUUCCCGGGCCUUGUACACACCGCCCGUCAAGUCACGAAAGUCGGUAACACCCGAAGCCGGUGGCCUAA